This 265-nucleotide signal recognition particle RNA is filed under the name Clostridia bacterium. RNAcentral's name for it is "signal recognition particle sRNA large type". It matches the Rfam family "Bacterial large signal recognition particle RNA". Rfam says of the family: The signal recognition particle (SRP) is a universally conserved ribonucleoprotein involved in the co-translational targeting of proteins to membranes. Archaeal SRP consists of a 7S RNA and homologues of the eukaryotic SRP19 and SRP54 proteins. The record is from RNAcentral. Lineage: Bacteria; Bacillati; Bacillota; Clostridia.
CCGUGCUAGAUGGGGAGGUAGCGGUGCCCUGUUACCCGCAAUCCGCUAUAGCGGGGUCGAAUUCCUGCCUGCGGGUUUUGCCUGUGGGGACUGCCCGGGGCAAGUGGCAAAGAAGAUCGGGUCCUGCGCAACAGGAACUUAUGAACCCCGUCAGGUCCGGGAGGAAGCAGCGGUAAGUAAGCCAGCCUGUGUGCCGCGGGGGUGCCUGGUCGGAGUUGGCUACCCCGGUUACGCCUGGAGGUAAGGUUCAAGGGCAGGUGCACGG